Molecule: non-coding RNA, 88 nt
Organism: Blastosporella zonata
Lineage: Eukaryota; Fungi; Basidiomycota; Agaricomycetes; Agaricales; Lyophyllaceae
Source: the annotation of a GenBank genome assembly
GCAUUAAUGGGGUAGUGGUAACCUGGGUCGUUGCCAUGUUGGGUCAAAAGAACUCGACCCGCCGGGGGUUCGAUUCCCCCUUAAUGCA